UACGUAGGCGGAAUAUUAAGUCAGUGGUGAAAUCCUGCGGCUCAACCGUAGAACUGCCAUUGAUACUGAUAUUCUUGAAUGUAGUUGAGGUAGGCGGAAUGUGUAAUGUAGCGGUGAAAUGCUUAGAUAUUACACAGAACACCGAUUGCGAAGGCAGCUUACUAAACUAUGAUUGACGCUGAUGUACGAAAGCGUGGGGAGCGAACAGGAUUAGAUACCCUGGUAGUC
Molecule: ribosomal RNA, 228 nt
Filed under: uncultured bacterium
Lineage: Bacteria
Description: partial 16S ribosomal RNA
Rfam family: Bacterial small subunit ribosomal RNA
Source: RNAcentral